UAGGGAAUCUUCCGCAAUGGACGAAAGUCUGACGGAGCAACGCCGCGUGAGUGAAGAAGGAUUUCGGUUCGUAAAACUCUUUUGUUAGGGAAGAAAAAAUGUAUAGUAACUAUAUACAAAAGAGACGGUACCUAACCAGAAAGCCACGGCUAACUACGUGCCAGCAGCCGCGGUAAUACGUAGGUGGCAAGCGUUGUCCGGGAUUAUUGGGCGUAAAGCGCGCGCAGGUGGUUUAGAAAGUCUGAUGUGAAAGCCCACGGCUCAACCGUAGAGGGUCAUUGGAAACUAAUAAACUUGGGUGCAGGAGAGAAAAGUGGAAUUCCUAGUGUAGCGGUGAAAUGCGUAGAGAUUAGGAGGAACACCGGUGGCGAAAGCGGCUUUUUGGCCUGCAACUGACACUGAGGCGCGAAAGCGUGGGGAGCAAACAGG
RNAcentral lists this ribosomal RNA (429 nucleotides) under Verrucomicrobiota bacterium. Its description in RNAcentral is "Verrucomicrobia bacterium partial 16S ribosomal RNA". It matches the Rfam family "Bacterial small subunit ribosomal RNA", at positions 355 to 776 of the family's 1533-position model. The record is from RNAcentral. Lineage: Bacteria; Pseudomonadati; Verrucomicrobiota.